Molecule: long non-coding RNA, 372 nt
Filed under: Monodelphis domestica (gray short-tailed opossum)
Lineage: Eukaryota; Metazoa; Chordata; Mammalia; Didelphimorphia; Didelphidae
Description: lncRNA (ENSMODG00000042949.1)
Source: RNAcentral
AUGGGGUCUCUGGAGGCAGAGAGAAAGGUCUUCAGGCCUUGCUGCCUGAUUUCAGGAAGAUGCCAUCUCAGGGAGCUGCAUUGUUUCCCCUUACCUGGAUCGGAAGCCAUCUCAAGAUGCCCAGUUAGACAAGGUUUGGAAAGGGGAUCUGCGUUCCCUCGGGGGAGCUGGAGCAUCAGAGAUUUAGAGGUGAAAGAACCUCAGAGGCCAUCUAGUCAAAUAUUCCAUUUUACUGAUGAGAUAACUGAGUCCAAGAGAUCCUCUGCCCAACCUCACAUAGCCAAGGACUCAUCAGCAUGGCAACCAUCUUGUCGAGAGCAUGAGUCAUAUGCUGCAAGUGUGAAAAGGGAUUUAUCUGCCAUAGUACUGUAA